Molecule: ribosomal RNA, 698 nt
Filed under: uncultured Enterobacteriaceae bacterium
Lineage: Bacteria; Pseudomonadati; Pseudomonadota; Gammaproteobacteria; Enterobacterales; Enterobacteriaceae
Description: bacterial SSU rRNA
Rfam family: Bacterial small subunit ribosomal RNA
Source: RNAcentral
UGUAAACGAUGUCGAUUUGGAGUUUGUUGCCUAGAGUGAUGGGCUCCGAAGCUAACGCGAUAAAUCGACCGCUGGGGAGUACGGCCGCAAGGUUAAAACUCAAAUGAAUUGACGGGGGCCCGCACAAGCGGUGGAGCAUGUGGUUUAAUUCGAUGCAACGCGAAGAACCUUACCUGGUCUUGACAUCCAUAGAAUUCUGCAGAGAUGUGGGAGUGCCUUGGAACUAUGAGACAGGUGCUGCAUGGCUGUCGUCAGCUCGUGUUGUGAAAUGUUGGGUUAAGUCCCGCAACGAGCGCAACCCUUAUUCUUUGUUGCCAGCGAUUUGGUCGGGAACUCAAAGGAGACUGCCGUUGAUAAAGCGGAGGAAGGUGGGGACGACGUCAAGUCAUCAUGGCCCUUACGACCAGGGCUACACACGUGCUACAAUGGCGUAUACAAAGGGAAGCGAAGGUGCGAGCUGGAGCGGAUCUCAUAAAGUACGUCUAAGUUCGGAUUGGAGUCUGCAACUCGACUCCAUGAAGUCGGAAUCGCUAGUAAUCGUAGAUCAGAAUGCUACGGUGAAUACGUUCCCGGGCCUUGUACACACCGCCCGUCACACCAUGGGAGUGGGUUGCACCAGAAGUAGAUAGCUUAACCGCGAGGGGGGCGUUUACCACGGUGUGAUUCAUGACUGGGGUGAAGUCGUAACAAGGUAACCA